UGGGGAAUUUUGCACAAUGGGGGAAACCCUGAUGCAGCGACGCCGCGUGAUUUAGAAGGCCUUCGGGUUGUAAAAAUCUUUUCUAUGGGAAGAAAAUGACAGUACCAUAGGAAUAAGGACCGGCUAAUUACGUGCCAGCAGCCGCGGUAAUACGUAAGGUCCGAGCGUUGUCCGGAAUCAUUGGGCGUAAAGGGUACGUAGGCGGGUAAGCAAGUUAGAAGUGAAAUCCUGUAGCUCAACUACAGUAAGCUUUUAAAACUGCUCAUCUUGAGAUAUGGAAGGGAAAGUGGAAUUCCUAGUGUAGCGAUGAAAUGCGCAGAUAUUAGGAGGAAUACCGGUGGCGAAGGCGACUUUCUGGCCAUAAUCUGACGCUGAGGUACGAAAGCGUGGGUAGCAAACAGG
Molecule: ribosomal RNA, 402 nt
Filed under: Verrucomicrobiota bacterium
Lineage: Bacteria; Pseudomonadati; Verrucomicrobiota
Description: Verrucomicrobia bacterium partial 16S ribosomal RNA
Rfam family: Bacterial small subunit ribosomal RNA
Source: RNAcentral